This 274-nucleotide unclassified non-coding RNA is filed under the name uncultured Ascomycota. Its description in RNAcentral is "sequence contains ITS2". The record is from RNAcentral. Lineage: Eukaryota; Fungi; Ascomycota.
AACGCACAUUGCGCCCCCUGGCAUUCCUAGGGGCAUGCCUGUUCGAGCGUCAUUAACAACCAUCAAGCGGGGUUUGUCGGCCUCGCUUGGUCAUGGGGGAUGGCCGCCCUCGGGCGUCCACCCCCGAAAUGCAACGGCGGACGGCCACCAGUGGCACCGGGGCGUAGUAAGUUAUUCUCUCGCCCGCACCCACGGAUUGGACUGUCCGGCCGCUUGAACCCCCCAACAUCCAAUGGUUGACCUCGGAUCAGGUAGGGAUACCCGCUGAACUUAA